Molecule: ribosomal RNA, 523 nt
Filed under: uncultured bacterium
Lineage: Bacteria
Description: bacterial SSU rRNA
Rfam family: Bacterial small subunit ribosomal RNA
Source: RNAcentral
AGGGUUCGAUUCUGGCUCAGAUUGAACGCUGGCGGUAGGCUUAACACAUGCAAGUCGUGCGAGAAAGUAUCUUCGGAUAUGAGUAGAGCGGCGGACGGGUGAGUAACGCGUAGGAAUCUACCUAGUAGAAGGGGAUAGCCCGGGGAAACCCGGAUUAAUACCGUAUACCUCCUUCGGGAGAAAGAAGGCCUCUCUUUGAAGCUUUCGCUACUAGAUGAGCCUGCGUAAGAUUAGCUUGUUGGUGAGGUAAAGGCUCACCAAGGCGACGAUCUUUAGCUGGUCUGAGAGGACGAUCAGCCACAUUGGGACUGAGACACGGCCCAGACUCCUACGGGAGGCAGCAGUGGGGAAUAUUGGACAAUGGGCGCAAGCCUGAUCCAGCCAUACCGCGUGUGUGAAGAAGGCCUUCGGGUUGUAAAGCACUUUAAGCAGGGAGAAAAAGUUAUAAGUUAAUACCUUAUAACCCUGAUGUUACCUGCAGAAUAAGCACCGGCUAAUUCUGUGCCAGCCGCCGCGGUAAUAC